Molecule: RNase P RNA, 307 nt
Filed under: Bacillota bacterium
Lineage: Bacteria; Bacillati; Bacillota
Description: Firmicutes bacterium (anaerobic digester metagenome) partial RNase P RNA component class A
Rfam family: Bacterial RNase P class A
About the family: Ribonuclease P (RNase P) is a ubiquitous endoribonuclease, found in archaea, bacteria and eukarya as well as chloroplasts and mitochondria. Its best characterised activity is the generation of mature 5'-ends of tRNAs by cleaving the 5'-leader elements of precursor-tRNAs. Cellular RNase Ps are ribonucleoproteins.
Source: RNAcentral
UGAGGAAAGUCCGAGCUCCGUAGGGCAGGGUGCUGGGUAACGCCCAGUGGAGGCGACUCUAAGGCUAGUGCCACAGAAACAAACCGCCCCAAGUUCUGGGGUAAGGCUGAAAAGGUGAGGUAAGAGCUCACCAGCAGUUAGGUGACUAACUGGCUAGGUAAACCCCACUCGGAGCAAGGUCAAAUAGGGAAGAAGAGGUUGCCCGCCUCGUUAGACUUCCGGGUUGACCGCAUGAGGCUUUAGGCAACUAAAGUCCUAGAUAGAUGAUCAUCCUCGACAGAACUCGGCUUAUAGGUUCACUCAGAUU